AAUUAGUAAUUACCGACAAAACACUCUCUUAAUCUGCUGUGAAACACUCUUUUAGUUUACUGUUAAAAUCUAUAAGCAAAUCUUGUGUAAACUUUACCGAAAUUGUUGACUAGAUUGCUAAAUAUAGCAAUGGUUAACAACAACAAAACAUCUGUAUAACAAUGACUAAUGUUUUUUCAUAGAAAACUAGUCAAACAUGGUCAUGAAUUUGUAAAAUAUAAA
RNAcentral lists this long non-coding RNA (222 nucleotides) under Capsella rubella. Its description in RNAcentral is "long non-coding RNA (CRUB_LNC004885)". The record is from RNAcentral. Lineage: Eukaryota; Viridiplantae; Streptophyta; Magnoliopsida; Brassicales; Brassicaceae.